GAUGAACGCUGGCGGUAUGCUUAACACAUGCAAGUCGAACGGUCUUUUAGGAGACAGUGGCGGACGGGUGAGUAACGCGUAAGAAUCUACCCUCAGGUCGGGGACAACCACUGGAAACGGUGGCUAAUACCGGAUGUGCCGAGAGGUGAAAGGCUUGCUGCCUGGGGAAGAGCUUGCGUCUGAUUAGCUAGUUGGUAGUGUAAGAGACUACCAAGGCGACGAUCAGUAGCUGGUCUGAGAGGAUGAUCAGCCACACUGGGACUGAGACACGGCCCAGACUCCUACGGGAGGCAGCAGUGGGGAAUUUUCCGCAAUGGGCGAAAGCCUGACGGAGCAAUACCGCGUGAGGGAGGAAGGCUCUUGGGUUGUAAACCUCUUUUCUCAGGGAAGAAAAAAAUGACGGUACCUGAGGAAUAAGCAUCGGCUAACUCCGUGCCAGCAGCCGCGGUAAUACGGAGGAUGCAAGCGUUAUCCGGAAUGAUUGGGCGUAAAGGGUCCGCAGGUGGCAUUGAAAGUCUGCUGUUAAAGAGUCUAGCUCAACUAGAUAAGAGCAGUGGAAACUACAAAGCUAGAGUUUGGUCGGGGCAGAAGGAAUUCCUGGUGUAGCGGUGAAAUGCGUAGAUAUCAGGAAGAACACCAGUGGCGAAGGCGUUCUGCUAGGCCGAGACUGACACUGAGGGACGAAAGCUAGGGGAGCGAAUGGGAUUAGAUACCCCAGUAGUCCUAGCCGUAAACGAUGGAUACUAGGCGUAGCUCGUAUCGACCCGAGCUGUGCCGGAGCUAACGCGUUAAGUAUCCCGCCUGGGGAGUACGCAGGCAACUGUGAAACUCAAAGGAAUUGACGGGGGCCCGCACAAGCGGUGGAGUAUGUGGUUUAAUUCGAUGCAACGCGAAGAACCUUACCAAGGCUUGACAUGUCACGAAUCCUGUGGAAACAUAGGAGUGCCUUCGGGAGCGUGAACACAGGUGGUGCAUGGCUGUCGUCAGCUCGUGUCGUGAGAUGUUGGGUUAAGUCCCGCAACGAGCGCAACCCUCGUUUUUAGUUGCCAGCAUUAAGUUGGGCACUCUAGAGAGACUGCCGGUGACAAACCGGAGGAAGGUGGGGAUGACGUCAAGUCAGCAUGCCCCUUACGUCUUGGGCUACACACGUACUACAAUGCUACGGACAAAGGGCAGCUACACAGCGAUGUGAUGCGAAUCUCAUAAACCGUAGCUCAGUUCAGAUCGAAGGCUGCAACUCGCCUUCGUGAAGGAGGAAUCGCUAGUAAUUGCAGGUCAGCAUACUGCAGUGAAUUCGUUCCCGGGCCUUGUACACACCGCCCGUCACACCAUGGAAGUUGGUCACGCCCGAAGUCGUUACCCCAACCGCAAGGGGGGGGAUGCCUAAGGUAGGACUGAUGACUGGGGU
RNAcentral lists this ribosomal RNA (1408 nucleotides) under Dolichospermum planctonicum CENA210. Its description in RNAcentral is "bacterial SSU rRNA". It matches the Rfam family "Bacterial small subunit ribosomal RNA". Lineage: Bacteria; Bacillati; Cyanobacteriota; Cyanophyceae; Nostocales; Aphanizomenonaceae. The record is from RNAcentral.